CUUAUCACGAGCGGUGGAGGAAUCAGGUCCUUUGAAGCCCGGCAACCUAUUUUAAAAUAAGGUGCUAAAUCCUGCGGAUAUUCCGAAAGAUGAGG
This 95-nucleotide non-coding RNA is filed under the name human gut metagenome. RNAcentral describes it as "SAM riboswitch (S box leader)". It matches the Rfam family "SAM riboswitch aptamer (S box leader)". From Rfam's summary of the family: The SAM riboswitch is found upstream of a number of genes which code for proteins involved in methionine or cysteine biosynthesis in Gram-positive bacteria. The SAM riboswitch acts at the level of transcription termination control. The record is from RNAcentral.